Molecule: long non-coding RNA, 2703 nt
Organism: Siniperca chuatsi (mandarin fish)
Lineage: Eukaryota; Metazoa; Chordata; Actinopteri; Centrarchiformes; Sinipercidae
Exons: 3
Source: RefSeq, a predicted model, not a curated record
AAGAAGCCAGGCUAGUUGAAAGCAUCCACUGCCAUGACACAGACAUAAGAACACAGCAGUGCAAAUGGUCACAAGUGAACUCUCACACAGUAAUCUUUCACACUCAUAAGUCUCAAAGUGCUGAGAAUGGGCCUGACGAGAAACCCAAGCAUGUUGCCAGUGAAUAUCUGGACCCUGACUCUCAUUUGGAGUCUACACUGCAACUGCUGGCCUCAUCAUGCAUACUCCUAUGGAGGUGUCUAUGAACACUUCCUUCCCAGAAGUACUUAUUCUGCCAGGACUUGUGGACAGGGUGUUACUCCAAUAGUCAAGGUACAGUACUGUUUGUGAUGUCAUAGGUCAAAUUAGAGAGCUUUUGUACCAGUUCAUAGUGAACCCUAAUUGUGUUUGACACCUAGUCAAGUGAAUAAAGAGGAAAAUCCAGGUAAAACAACCCAGACAUUCCCAGGCACUGCAGCAGUUUGAAUGAUGUGUCUCCAAAGUGAAAAGGUGUGGGUAUUAGGGAAUACCCUAAAUAGUAACCUGCUGUACUUGUAUGCUGCUCCAUGGCAGGCAAAACGGAAGAGCUUCUUGAUUAUUCUGCAAGACCAAUUGAUUUACUGGGAGAACAUGCCCUUGGCAUAUGGUCUUUGUAGGAGCCUAUUUUGAUUGGAUUCAGUUUUGGAAUAUUUUUGUUUGAGUUGGCUUCCUUUGUGAGCUUACUUUGUUUGUGUAUACCAUUUGGAUGGGUAUUCUGUAUUUUACACUGAAAAUAUGUAAUAUGUUAAAUUGCGUACUGGCUCUUUAAGAAUCAGGAGUGUGAAGCUUGGGCGGUAGUGCGCUCUGGGGACAGUGGAGUCACACAGUUUUCUUUACCGCAUCUGUGAUAUUGAAGAUUUAUGAUCAUAAUUUGCCUUUAUUAUUUUAUUUGUUUUAUUUAACUGACAAUCAAGAUUAAAGGAAGAUAUUUUAUAAGAAAACGGACUAUGUGGAUUGUUUUUAACGGACACGGAGCGAGUGAAACCAAGAAGGAAACUAAAUGCGCACUCACAGUCUUCAUGAGGGUUUUUUACCACGGGAACCACAGAACUGUCUCAGGUCUAUCAUGGUAAACCAGAUGAAUCUAGUUUCUUGAGUCUAAACAUCUUGCGUAGUUUCUGCCUAUGUAUAUAGUGGGUGCAGUUUUGGGAGAUGUCUCAAGUCUGUUGUUUUCUUUAUUUUCCAAGGACCAGGGGUGGUAGCCCAGUCAAAACAAACUGUCCAUCCAACCCAGAUAACCUCAGUGGGAGUCAUAGUCAAAGCUGAAAACCUGGAAGAGUGCAGUCUUUUGACACCCUUUGCUAAGACAUGUUUUUGCCACAUCACAUGAAAUGUCCAUGAGCAGAGGGUCUACAGAGUCUACAGACCAACACCUUAAGGGAAAGCCUGCGACAGAAAAUCAUCUUUAUUACACCCAUAAUAAUGCUCACAGGAAAACUUGUAUGUAACUUGAUGUAGUAGAUCUAAUAUUUAUACUCUUGUAACACUCAAUGCUAGCAUUCUUGUGCAUGCAUAUAAACAUUAAUAGUUUUUGUCCUGAAAAUUAGCUUUGAGAGUUAACACAUUUCUUGUUGAAAAUAAAAGUGUGAGGACAGACUUGAUGGAAGGGAAAAACUAAGAAAAUCUUUAAACAAGUUAUUGAUCUCACUUGGACUAGGUACGAAAUGAGCUCUGGGAGCAUGGGGACGGAAGAGAGGGCAACUGCUAGUGCAGCGUCAUGGUUUUUUUUCUUGGUGCAUCCGGAUCCUGCUAAUAAACUUCUUAAAAUGUAGAAAUUGCUGAGCAGUUCUGCAGUUUCACUCUUGCUAAAUACAAAAAGUACUUAACAACUGGCCCUGGGUGGCACAGCAUAUAUUGUAUUACCUUAGGUCCAGGCAGACCAGGUGGACCCUGUAAAGUAAAGACAAAGCUGAAGCAAAUUUCUAACAUAUUCAUUGAAGGACAGCGCUAAACAACAAAAGACUGAAGUUGAUAAGAACUGUAACAUAUCAGAAUACUAUAUUUGAUUACAACACAAUUUAACAAAACAUAAAUACAUUGCUUUGAUUUUGUGUCUUACUGGAUGUCCAUUAAUGCCACGGGCCCCGGCAAUACCAGGAGGUCCAUCUUCUCCCUAAAACCUGGGGCCCCUGGGGGUCCUGGAGGCCCUUGUAAACCUGGGACACCCUGUAAGAGAUUAUCAGCCCAGCAUGACCAUCUGAUCCUGGAUGGCCCUCUGGCCCUGGGGGACCUGGAACUCCUGGAAAACCUUUGUCUCCCUGUGUGUGUAAGAGAGAACCAGACGGAGUGAUGGAGAAAAGAAGACAAGGGGGCAGACAGACCGCAAACAGCAAUAAACAACAAUAAAUUACAUUUUUUACAAAUUUUAAUUUGUAAAUAUUGUCUGUAGUAUGUAAGUUUGUUGAAAACUGCUGCACACUUAAAUACUACUGUGAGAUUGUUGCUUAAUCAGUAACAUACCUGGUGUUGAAUAACAUACCAUUGCAUGUCACCAAUGAAGGCCAAUGCCCAUGUAAAUUUAAGUUUCAGGUGAUCACGGUUGAAAAUAUAAGCUUGUUUACUCCUGUGUUUACAGAUAUUAGAACUGUAAACAAACUAAAAAUAUACUUGUUGUAUAAUUGUUGUCAAGUGUUGGUCCCUGUUAGACCAUAGACUAAUUUUUAGCAAAAUAAAAAUUAAAACUAC